Molecule: ribosomal RNA, 890 nt
Filed under: uncultured bacterium
Lineage: Bacteria
Description: bacterial SSU rRNA
Rfam family: Bacterial small subunit ribosomal RNA
Source: RNAcentral
ACAUGCAAGUCGAGGGGAAACGACAUCGAAAGCUUGCUUUUGAUGGGCGUCGACCGGCGCACGGGUGAGUAACGCGUAUCCAACCUGCCCACCACUUGGGGAUAACCUUGCGAAAGUAAGACUAAUACCCAAUGAUAUCUCUAGAAGACAUCUGAAAGAGAUUAAAGAUUUAUCGGUGAUGGAUGGGGAUGCGUCUGAUUAGCUUGUUGGCGGGGUAACGGCCCACCAAGGCGACGAUCAGUAGGGGUUCUGAGAGGAAGGUCCCCCACAUUGGAACUGAGACACGGUCCAAACUCCUACGGGAGGCAGCAGUGAGGAAUAUUGGUCAAUGGACGAGAGUCUGAACCAGCCAAGUAGCGUGCAGGAAGACGGCCCUAUGGGUUGUAAACUGCUUUUAUAAGGGAAUAAAGUGAGUCUCGUGAGACUUUUUGCAUGUACCUUAUGAAUAAGGACCGGCUAAUUCCGUGCCAGCAGCCGCGGUAAUACGGAAGGUCCGGGCGUUAUCCGGAUUUAUUGGGUUUAAAGGGAGCGUAGGCCGGAGAUUAAGCGUGUUGUGAAAUGUAGACGCUCAACGUCUGCACUGCAGCGCGAACUGGUCUUCUUGAGUACGCACAACGUGGGCGGAAUUCGUGGUGUAGCGGUGAAAUGCUUAGAUAUCACGAAGAACUCCGAUUGCGAAGGCAGCUCACGGGAGCGCAACUGACGCUGAAGCUCGAAAGUGCGGGUAUCGAACAGGAUUAGAUACCCUGGUAGUCCGCACGGUAAACGAUGGAUGCCCGCUGUAGGCCUGAAUAGGUCAGCGGCCAAGCGAAAGCAUUAAGCAUCCCACCUGGGGAGUACGCCGGCAACGGUGAAACUCAAAGGAAUUGACGGGGGCCCGCACAAGCGGA